This 652-nucleotide ribosomal RNA is filed under the name uncultured Syntrophaceae bacterium. Its description in RNAcentral is "bacterial SSU rRNA". It matches the Rfam family "Bacterial small subunit ribosomal RNA", at positions 28 to 657 of the family's 1533-position model. Lineage: Bacteria; Pseudomonadati; Thermodesulfobacteriota; Syntrophia; Syntrophales; Syntrophaceae. The record is from RNAcentral.
AACAAACGCUGGCGGCGUGCCUAACACAUGCAAGUCGUACGAGAAAGGGUCCUUCGGGACCUGAGUAAAGUGGCGCACGGGUGAGUAACGCGUGGAUAAUCUGCCCUUCAGUUGGGAACAACUCAUCGAAAGGUGGGCUAAUACCGAAUAACACUGCAAGACUUUGGUCGAGCAGUCAAAGAGAGCCUCUGCUUGCAAGCCCUCGCUGAAGGAUGAGUCCGCGUACCAUAGCUAGUUGGCAGGGUAAUGGCCUACCAAGGCGACGAUGGUUAGCUGGUCUGAGAGGAUGAUCAGCCACACUGGAACUGAGACACGGUCCAGACUCCUACGGGAGGCAGCAGUGAGGAAUCUUGCGCAAUGGGGGAAACCCUGACGCAGCAACGCCGCGUGAGUGAGGAAGGCCUUCGGGUCGUAAAGCUCUGUCAGUUGGGAAGAAAUGCCUGAGAGUGAAUACCUUUCAGGUUUGACGGUACCAACAGAGGAAGCACCGGCUAACUCCGUGCCAGCAGCCGCGGUAAUACGGGGGGUGCAAGCGUUGUUCGGAAUUAUUGGGCGUAAAGAGCGUGUAGGCGGCCGGAUGUGUCAGAUGUGAAAGCCCUGGGCUUAACCCAGGAAGUGCAUUUGAAACUGUCCGGCUUGAGUAUGGGAGAGG